CAGAACCCCAGGCCUUUCUGCCUGUUGGAGAAAGUUGGCGCACAGAACCUUAGGCCUUUCUUCCUGUCAGAGAAAGAUGGUACACAGAACCAUAGGCCUUUCUUCCCGUUGGAGAAAGAUGAAAUGUAGGAUCACAGACGUUGAGCCCUGUUGGAGAAAGAUGGCCCACAGAACCCCAGGCCUUUCUGCCUGUUGGAGAAAGAUGGCAUGCAGACUUUCUGCCUGUCAAAGAAAGAAGGCCUGCAGAACCACAGGCCUUUCUUCCCAUUGAAGAAAGUUGGCACACAGAACCUUAGGCCUUUCUUCCUGUCAGAGAAAGAUGGCACACAGAACCACAGCCUUUCUUCUCGUUGGAGAAAGAUGAAAUGCAGGAUCACAAAUGUUGAGCCCUGUUGGAGAAAGAUGGCCCACAGAACCCCAGGCCUUUUGCCUGUUGGAGAAAGAUGGCAUGCAGAACCAUUGGCCUUUCUUCCUCUUGAAGAAAGUUGGCGCACAGAACCUUAGGCCUUUUUUCCUGUCAGAGAAAGAUGGCACACAGAACCAUAGGCCUUUCUGCCUGUUGGAAAAAGAUGGCAUGCAGAACCAUUGGACUUUCUGCCCAUCAAAGAAAGAAGGCCUGCAGAACCACAGGCCUUUCUUCCCAUCGAAGAAAGUUGGCGCACAGAACCUUAGGCCUUUCUUCCUGUCAGAGAAAGAUGGCACACAGAACCAUAGGCCUUUCUUCCCAUUGGAGAAAGAUGAAAUGUAGGAUCACAGACCUUGAGCCCUGUUGGAGAAAGAUGGUCCACAGAACCCCAGGCCUUUCUGCCUGUUGGAGAAAGAUGGCAUGCAGAACCAUUGGACUUUCUGUCUUUCAAAGAAAGUAGGCCUGCAGAACCACAGGCAUUUCUGCCUGUUGGAGAAAGAUGGCAUGCAGACUUUCUGCCCGUCAAAGAAAGAAGGCCUGCAGAAUCACAGGCCUUUCUUCCCAUUGAAGAAAAUUAGCACACAGAACCUUAGGCCUUUCUUCCUGUCAGAGAAAGAUGGCACACAGAACCCCAGGCCUUUCUGCCUGUUGGAGAAAGAUGGCAUGCAGAACCAUUGGACUUUUGCCCAUCAAAGAAAGAAGGCCUGCAGAACCACAGGCCUUUCUUCCCAUUGAAGAAAGUUGGUGCACAGAACCUUAGGCCUUUCUUCCUGUCAGAGAAAGAUUGGACACAGAACUAUAGCCUCUCUUCCCAUUGGAGAAAGAUGAAAUGUAGGAUCACAAACGUUGAGACCUGUUGGAGAAAGAUGGCCCACAGAACCCCAGGCCUUUCUGCAUGUUGGAGAAAGAUGGCAUGCAGAAGCAUUGGACUUUCUGCCCAUCAAAGAAAGGCCUGCAGAACCACAGGCCUUUCUUUCUGUUGAAGAAAGUUGGCGCACAGAAUCUUAGGCCUUUCUUCCUGUCAGAGAAAGAUGGCCCACAGAACCAUAGGCUUUUCUUCCCGUUGGAGAAAGAUGAAAUGUAGGAUCACAGACCUUGAGCCCUGUUGGAGAAAGAUGUCCCACAGAACCAUAGGCAUUUCUGCCUGUUGGAGAAAGAUGGCAUGCAGAACCAUUGGACUUUCUGCCCAUCAAAGAAAGAAGGCCUGCAGAACCAUAGGCUUUUCUUUCUGUUGAAGAAAGUUGACGCACAGAACCUUAGGCCUUUCUUCCUGUCAGAGAAAGAUGGUGCACAAAACCAUAGCCUUUCUUCCCGUUGGAGAAAGAUGAAAUGUAGGAUCACAGACCUUGAACCCUGUUGGAGAAAGAUGGCCCACAGAACCCCAGGCCUUUCUGCCUGUUGGAGAAAAAUGGCAUGCAGAAUCAUUGGACUUUCUGCCUGUCAAAGAAAGAAGGCCUGUAGAACCACAGGCCUUUAAGCCUGUUGGAGAAAGAUGGCCCAUGGAACUACAGGUCUUUCUGCCAAUUAGAGAAAGAUGGCUCACAGAAAUAUAAGCCUUUCUCCCCUUCAGAGAAAGAUAGCCCACAGAACCAUAGGCCUUUUUGUCUGUCAGAAAAAGAUGGCUCACCUAACCACAGACUUUUCUGCCUGUCAGAGAAAAUGGCCAGGAGAACCACAGGUCUUUCUGUCUGCCAGAGAAAGGUAGCCUGCAGAACCAGAGGCCUUUCUGCCCGUCAGAAAAAGAUGGCUCACUGAACCACAGGCCUUUAAGCCUAUUGGAGAAAGAAGGCCCACAGAACCACAGGCUUUUCUGCCAGCUGGAGAAAGAUGACAUGCAGAAUCACAGGCCUUUAAGCCUGUUGGAGAAAGAAGGCCCACAGAACCACAGGCCUUUCUGCCAGUUGGAGAAAGAUGGCACAAAGAACCAUAUGACUUUGUGCUCAUCAGAGAAAGAUGAUGAACACAAUCAUAGGCCUUUCUGCCCAUUGGAGAAAAAUGGUGAGCAAGUCCACAGGCCUUUAAUUAAGCCUGCUGGAAAAAGAUGGCCCACACAUACACAGGCCUUUCUGCCUGUCAGAAAAGAUGGCCUGGAGAACCACAGGCCUUUUUGCCUGUUGGAAAAGAUGGUGCACAGAAAUUUAGACCUUGUUUCCUGUCAGAGAAAGAUGACCCACAGAACUAUAGGCAUUUCUUCCCCUUGUAGAAAGAUGGUAUGCAGAACCACAGGACUUUAACACUGUUGGAGAAAGAUGGCCCACAGAACCACAGACCUUUCUGCUUAUUGGAGAAAGAUGGCAUGGAGAACCACAGGACUUUCUGCUUUUGGAGACACACAGAACCAUAGGCCUUUCUGCACAUUGGAGAAAGAUAGAUUGUAGAACCAUAGGCCUUUCUCCCUUUCAAAGAAAGAUCUCCCAUCGAACCACAGGCUUUUUUCCCUGUCAGAGAAAGGUGGCUCACAGAACCAUAGGCCUUUGUGUCCAUCAGAAAAAUAUGGUUCAGAGAAUCACAGGGCUUUCUGCCUGUUGGAAAAAGUUGGCACGCAGAACCUUAGGCCUUUCUUCCUGUCAGAGAAAGAUGGCCCACAGAACCAUAGGCUUUUCUUCCCAUUGGAGAAAGAUGGCAUGCAGAACCACAGGCCUUUAAGCCUUUUGGAGAAAAAUGGUCCACAGAACUACAUGUCUUUCUGCCCAUUGGAGAAAGAUGGCCCACAGAACUACUAGCUUUUCUGCCUGUCAGAAAAAGAUGGCUCACUGAACCACAGGCCUUUCUGCCUACUGGAGAAAAAUGGUGCACAGAACCUUAGGGAUGUCUUCCUGUUGGAGAAUUAUUGCCCACAGAACCAUGGGCCUUUCUUCCCGUUGGAGAAAAGAUGGCGUGCAGAAUCACGGGCCUUUAAGCUUGUUGGAGAAAGAUAGCAUAUAGAACCAUAGUACUUUCUGCACGUCAUUGGAUGGUCGGCAGGAACCACAGGCCUUUAAGCCUGUUGGAGAAAGAAGGUCCACAGAACUACAGGCUUUUCUGCCCGUUGGAGAAAGAUGGUGUGCAAAACCAUAUGGCUUUCUGCUCGUCAGAGAAAGAUGGCCCACCCAACCACAAGCCUUUAUGCCUGUCAGAGAAGAUGGCCUGGAUAAUUACAGGCCUUUCUGUCUGUUGGAGAAAGAUAGCAUACAGAAACUUAGGCCUUUCUUCCUGUUAGAGAAAUAUGUCCCACAGAACCAUAGGCCUUUCUUCCCCUUGGAGAAAGAUGGCGUACAGAACCACAGGACUUUCUGACUGUUAGAGAAAUUUGGCACACAGAACCUUAGGCAUUUUUUCCUGUUGGAGAAUUAUUGCCCACAGAACCAUGGGCCUUUCUUCCCGUUGGAGAAAAGAGGGCGGGCAAAAUCACGGGCUUUUAAGCCUGUUGGAGAAAGAUAGCAUAUAGAACCAUAGUACUUUCUGCAUGUCGUUGGAUGGUCGGCAGGAAGCACAAGCCUUUAAGCCUGUUGGAGAAAGAAGGUCCACAGAACCACAGGCUUUUCUGCCCAUUGGAGAAAGAUGGUGUGCAAAACCAUAUAACUUUUACUCAUCAGAGAAAGAUGGCCCACCCAACCACAGGCCUUUCUGCCUGUCAGAGAAGAUGGGUUGGAUAAUCACAGGUCUUUCUGUCUUUUGGAGAAAGCAUACAGAAACUUGGGCCUUUCCUCCUGUGGGAGAAAAAUGGCAUACAGAAUCACAGGACUUUCUGCCUGCUGGAGAAAUAUGGCACAUAGAACUUUAGGCAUUUCUUCCUAUUAGAGAAAGAUGACCCACAGAAGCACAGGCCUUUCUGCCUGUUGGAGAACUAUGAUACGAAGAACCUUAGUCACUUCUCCCUGUCGAAGUAUUGUGGCCCACAGAGCCAUAGGCCUCUUUUCCUUGAAGAAAGAUGGCAUGUAGAACCACAGGACUUUCUGCCUGUUGGAGAAAGAUGGCACACAGAACCUUAGGCAUUUCUUCCUGUCAGAGAAUUAGAGCCCACAGAACCAUGGGCCUUUUUCCCGUUGGAGAAAGAUGACAUGCAGAAUCACAGGCCUUUAAGCCUGUUGAAGAAAGAAGGCCCACAGAACCACAGGCUUUUCUGCCAAUUGGAGAAAGAUGACACGAAGAACCAUAUGACCCUCUGCUCGUCAGAGAAAGAUGACGAACACAAUCAUAGGCCUUUCUGCCUAUUUUGAAAAAAUGGUGAGCAAAACCAUAGGUCUUUAAGCCUGUCUGAAAAAGAUGGCCUACACAUACACAGGCUUUUCUACUUGUCAGUGAAGAUGGCCUGGAGAACCACAGGCCUUUUUGCCUGUUAGAAAAGAUAGUGCACAGAAACUUAGGCCUUUUUUUCCUGUCAAAGAAAAAUGGCCCACAGAACUAUAGGUCUUUCUGCUUUUGGAGAAUAAUGGCACACAGAACCAUAGGCCUUACUGCCCAUUGGAGAAAAAUGAACUGCAGAACCAUAGGCCUCUCUCCCUUUCAAAGAAAGAUUGCCCACAGAAUCACAGGCCUUUCUCCCUGUCAGAGAAAAGUGGCUCGCAGAACCAUAGGCCUUUGUGUCCAUCAGAAAAAGAUGGUUCAGAGAAUCACAGGCACUUCUGCCUGUUGGAAAAAGUUGGCCCACAGAACUUUAGGCCUUUCUUCCUGUCAGAGAAAGAUGGCCCGUAGAACCACAGGCUUUUCUUCCCGUUGGAGAAAGAUGGCAUGCAGAACCACAGGCCUUUUAAGCCUGUCAGAGAAAGCUGGCCCACAGAACCAUAGGUCUUUCUCCCUUUCAGAGAAAACUGGCCCACAGAACCAUAGGCCUUUCUGCCCGUCAGAAAAAGAUGGCUCACUGAACGGAGAAAGAAAGCACACAGAAUUUUAGACAUUUCUUCCUAUUGGAGAAUUAUUGCCCAUAGAACCCUGGGCCUUUCUUCCCGUUGGAGAAAAGAUGGCGUGUAGAAUCACAGGCCUUUAAGCCUGUUGGAGAAAGAAGGCCAACAGAACCACAGACUUUUCUGCCCGUUGGAGAAAGAUGGUGUGCAAAACCAUAUGACUUUUACUCAUCAGAGAAAGAUGGCCCACCCAAUCACAGGCCUUCUGCCUGUCAGAGAAGAUGGCCUGGAUAAUCACAGGCCUUUCUGUCUGUCGGAGAAAGAUAGCGUACAGAAACUUAGGCCUUUCUUCCUGUUGGAGAAAUAUGUCCCACAGAACCAUAGGCCUUUCUUCCCGUUGGAGAAAGAUGAAAUGUAGGAUCACAAACCUUGAAUCCUGUUGGAGAAAGAUGUCCCACAGAACCACAGGACUUUCUGCCUGUUGGAGAACUAUGGUGCAAAGAACCUUAGGCAUUUCUUCCUGUCGGAGAAUUGUGGCCCGCAGAACCAUUUCUUGGUUCUUUCUGACAUUGGAGAAUAAUGGCAUGUAGAAACAUAGACCUUUCUGCCCAUUGGAGAAAGAUGGCCUGUAGAACCAUAGGCCUUUCUUCCUUUCAGAGAAAGAUGGCCCGCAGAAUCCUAGGUCUUUUUGCUCAUCAGAGAAAGAUGGCCUGCAGAACCAUAGGCCUUUCUCCUUAUCAGAGAAAGGUGGCCACAGAAUCAUAGGCCUUUCUGCUCAUUGGAGAAAGAUGGCCCAUCUAACUACAGGCCUUUCUGCCUGUCAGAGAAAGAUGGCCUGAAGAACAACAGGCCUCUCUGCCUAUUGGAGAAAGAUGGCCCACAGAAGCAUAGGCCAUUCUUCCCAUUGGAGAAAGAUAGUGUGAGAACCACAGGCCUUCAAACCUAUUGGAGAAAGAUGGUCUACCCAACCACAGGCCUUUCUGUCUGUCAGAGAAAGGUGGCCUGGAGAACCACAGGCCUCUCUGCCUGUUGGAGAAAGAUGGUGCAUAGAAUCUUAGGCCUUUCUUCCAGCUGGAGAAAGAUGGCCCACAGAACCAUAAUGCUUUCUUCCCGUUGGAGAAAAAUGGCAUACAGAAUUACAGGCCUUUCUCUCUGACAGAGAGAAAGGCGGCCUGCAGAACCAUAGGCCUUUGUGCCCAUCAGAAAAAGAUGGCUCAGAGAAUCAAAGGCCUUUCUGCCUGUUGGAGAAAGUUGGCACACUGAACCUUAGACCUUUCUUCCUGUCAGAGAAAGAUGGCCCACAGAACCAUAGGCCUUUCUUCCCGUUGGAGAAAGAUGGAAUGCAGAAUCACAGGCCUUUAAGCCUGUUGGAGAAAGAUGGCCUACAGAACCACAAGCCUUUCUGCCCAUUGGAGAAAGAUGGCAUGCAGAACCAUUGAAUUUUCUGCCCGUCGGAGAAAAGAUGACCUGCAGAAUCAUGGCCUUUAAGCCUGUUGGAGAAAGAUAGCCCACAUAACUACAGGUCUUCCUGCUUAUUGGAGAAAGAUGACCCACAGAACCAUAAGCCUUUCUCCGUUUCAGAGCAAGAUGGCUCACAGAACCACAGGCCUUUCUUCCUGUCAGAGAAUUAUGGCCCACAGAACCAUGGGCCUUUCUUCCCGUUGGAGAAAGAUGGUGUGCAGAAUCACAGGCCUUUAAGCCUGUUGGAUAAAGAUAGCAUGUAGAACCAUAGGACUUUCUGCCCGUCAGAGAAAGAUGACAAAUAGAAUCAUAGGCCUUUUUGCCCAUUGGAGAAUAAUGGCGUGCAAAACCACAGGCCUUUCAGCCUGUUGGAAAAAAAUAUCUUGUAGGACCACAGGUCUUUCUGCCUGUCAGAGAUCACCUGGAGAACCAUAGGCCUUUCUGCCCAUUGGAGAAAGACAGCCAUAGAACCACAGGCCUUUCUUUCCAUUGGAGAAAGAUGGUGUGCAGAACCCCAAGCCUGUAAGCCUGUUAGAGAAGGAUGGUUCAUAGAACCACAGACCUUUAAGCUUGUUGGAGAAAGACUACCACAGAACCAUAGGCCUUUCUGCCUGAUGAAGAAAGAGGAGCUAUAAUACCACUAACCUUUCUGCCUGUUGGAGAAAGAUGAUGCACAGAAUCACAGGCCUUGCUGCCCAUUAGAGCUGUUUGUAGUGGUCCGAUUAGAGCAUAUUUUGAGUUGGAUGCUCAUCCUAACUAUAAAAUUGAGUAUACUGAUAAUCCAGAGAAUGAAAGAACAAAAAUAAGUCCUAGGUUGAGGUCUAGGAGUGUGUUGGGUAUGGGGAGAGGGGCAAUACCACAGGCCUUUAAGCCUGUCAGAGAAAGGUGGGGUGUAGAAUCAUAGACCUUUGUGCUGGUCAGAGAAAGAUGGCCUAUAGAACCACUGGCCUUUCUGCUUGUUGGAAAAAGAGAACCCAAAGAACCAUAAGCUAAGAUAUCAUUUCAUCAGUUUAUCAUCCUCCUCUGAUUUUAGGAACUAUUUGCUAUCCAUUAUGGCCUGUGAAACUGUGGAUUAACAAGAACUUCUGAAGGCAUUCAAAAAAAAAAUAGGAAAAAACUAUUUUAAAAACUAUCAUAUCAUUUAGUUAUUUGUCCCAGAACUAAAAAGGACCAGAACAAAACAAAACUCCAAUCCCAAGGUAUACAGUAAAAGAUGAGAGGAAGAGAAGGGUUCUAACUUGUGGAUAGGAGGAGCCAAACAAAGCAGACCAGAGACAGAAGAGAGUGGAAUCACACAGAAGUUUAAUUUCAAGGAAGGAAGGAAGAGAAGAACGAAAAUUUGGAACUCAA
Sarcophilus harrisii (Tasmanian devil) is the source of this 8040-nucleotide long non-coding RNA. RefSeq lists it as uncharacterized. The record is from RefSeq and is a predicted model, not a curated record. The transcript is spliced from 3 exons. NCBI's taxonomy places the organism in Eukaryota, Metazoa, Chordata, Mammalia, Dasyuromorphia, Dasyuridae.